Long non-coding RNA from Dreissena polymorpha, 2201 nucleotides. RefSeq lists it as uncharacterized. NCBI's taxonomy places the organism in Eukaryota, Metazoa, Mollusca, Bivalvia, Myida, Dreissenidae. The record is from RefSeq and is a predicted model, not a curated record. The transcript has 4 exons.
CUGUUGAGUGACGAAACCUCCGUAGAUACAGUAACUUUCCAUCAUAACAAAUAUGGCGGACGUGUCAGUUACGGUACAUUUUGGAAAACUUCAAAUGAACGUUUUCUAUGUAAAUAGAUAUGAACGAAAGGCUGGACACAUUUGAGAACCUCACGAACAUUGAGGUUGUAAGAAGAUAUCGGUUAGAUAAGGAUGGCAUCGAUCGCCUUAAUCAAGAAUAUGGUGAACGUUUAUCACCUAAAACACUUGGGCCAAAGAAUGUCUCUUCUUUAGAGAAAAUCCUUAUCACCCUACGCUAUUGUGCUCCGGUGAUUUCCAGAUAAAUGAUGGUAACAUUCAUAAUUUGUCACAGCCAUCAGUGUCAAGGGCUGUGACACAGUUCACUGAGAUGCUCGCUAGCAGGGAAACUACAUCAAGAUUUAUAUUGUUCCCUCUAAAUAUGCAUGAUGUCAGCAGGGUAAAGACGGAUUUCCAAUGCAUAGCCAACUUUCCAAAUGUUGUUGGCGUUGUGGAUGGCACUCAAGUGCAGAUGUGCAGGAUGCAUAUGUCAAUAGAAUGGGAUAUCAUUCUAUCAAUACCCAGAGCUGACAUAAUAACAAGAUCAAAAGUCGAAAGGGGAAUAGGCCAACUGAAAAGAAGAUGGGGAGUGCUGCAUGGCGAAAUUCGUUUGAAACCUGAAAAGGCUUGCCACAGCUCUGCUAAUGACAUCACCUCGAGUUGGUCAUUGUCGUGACAGCUGCAGUGACACCUGACAAAGACAAUUCAUUUGUCAUACUUUGACAUAUGUACAAGACUGAGCAAAUAAAUGUACUUUGGGUUAAAGAGUUAAUUUAUUAUCAUUCAAUAAGUGGAGAAGUGUUAAUCUUUUUGAUAGCCUUUGUUGUAAAAAAAUAUUUUGUACAAAGUAACAAUGGUAUUUACUAUUUUUUUUACAAUGAGUUAUUCUUUUGUUUGAUUGAUAGGGGUAGAGUGGGGACGGGUACUGGUAAGACUGGUGUAGAUUUUUGUUUAAACAACCUCCUUCUAAAAUAAAUAUUUUUAUUAUUUAUAAGACCUAAUGGAUGUGUGGUUAAAAUUAUGUAACCACAUUUAUGAAUUCUUUUUAUGUCCCCCACUAUAGUAGUGGGGGACAUAAUUGUUUUUGCCCUGUCUGUUGGUCUGUCUGUCUGUUUGCGCCAACUUUAACAUUUUGCAAUAACUUUUGCUAUAUUGAAGAUAGUAACUUCAUAUUUGGCAUGCAUGUGUAUCUCAUGAAGCUGCACAUUUUGAGUGGUGAAAGGUCAAGGUCAUCCUGCAAGGUCAGAAGUCAAAUAAAUGUGGCCCUUAUCGCUUAUUUUAUAAAUACUUUUGCAAUAUUGAAGAUAGCAACUUGAUAUUUGGCAUGCAUGUGUAUCUCAUGGAGCUGCACAUUUUGAGUGGUGAAAGGUCAAGGUCAUCCUUCACAAUGUCAAGGUCAUCCUACAAGGUCAAACAUCAUAUAGGGGGACAUUGUGUUUCACAAACACAUCUUGUUCAAACAUAAAUGAGUUUUAUUUUUGAUUUAUUUUAAACUUGUUACCUCAGUGUAAUGACUAUUCAAACAACUAAAUUUUUGAAGGUGUAUUGUUACACCAUUACCAAUAGGUUUUUACUUUACAACAAAAUUAAACAAAAGCAACAUUGUUAAAAAUGACAUGAUAGUCUCAAUUUUUUUGAUACUUUAUAUGAAGAGGACUUUAUUUUCAAAGUGAUAUAUAAGGCAUAUGAACAAAAAAAUGAGUACUUAUUUUAGAGGUAUUAAAGCAUUAACAUUUAUAAUAUUCUUUUCCUUAUAUAUUUGUUUAUUUCUAUUCUCAUUUUGCAAUUAAUUGAUGACUACCCGAGGCUGUUUGCCAUAAACACUGUAUUAUGCAAUAAAGAAUAUGGUAUGGUACCUGUCAAUGCACGGUCUCUUAUGUAAUCUGUAUAAAUGAGACGGUGCUUGGCAACCAUGUUUAGCCACUUUUUUUCCAGCUUUUCUGCCGUCCUGUUUUUAGUUGCUUUUUGAUUGAACUUAGUUUAAACCAUCGCCCACAUCUGCUUGUUUGUUUGACUUGUUAUUCCAGUUAUUAAAUACAUAACUUGUAUUCAUUAAACAAUCACUUACUAUGUACAUAGCUUUGAUUGCUUUAUAUUGGCUUAACCGGUAUAUGUAGCAACUAGUGCAAAUAAAUUGGUGUCAA